This 440-nucleotide ribosomal RNA is filed under the name uncultured bacterium. Its description in RNAcentral is "partial 16S ribosomal RNA". It matches the Rfam family "Bacterial small subunit ribosomal RNA", at positions 338 to 795 of the family's 1533-position model. The record is from RNAcentral.
CCUACGGGUGGCUGCAGUGGGGAAUAUUGCACAAUGGGGGAAACCCUGAUGCAGCAACGCCGCGUGAGCGAUGAAGGCCUUCGGGCCGUAAAGCUCUGUCCUAAGGGAAGAAUACUGACGGUACCUUAGGAGGAAGCCCCGGCUAACUACGUGCCAGCAGCCGCGGUAAUACGUACGGGGCUAGCGUUAUCCGGAAUUACUGGGCGUAAAGGGUGCGUAGGCGGCCCUUCAAGUCAGAGGUGGAAGGCUACGGCUCAACCGUAGUAAGCCGUUGGAACUGUAGGACUUGAGGACAGGAAGGAAGAGCGGGAUUGACGGUGGAGCAGUGAAAGGCGUAGGUAGUUAGAUGAGCACCAGGUGCAAAGGGGGCAUACAGGAAUGUCACUUACGGUGAGGCACGUAGGCGUGGCGAGCGAACAGGAUUUGAUACGCCAUAAGUC